Molecule: ribosomal RNA, 476 nt
Filed under: uncultured bacterium
Lineage: Bacteria
Description: bacterial SSU rRNA
Rfam family: Bacterial small subunit ribosomal RNA
Source: RNAcentral
AGGACGAACGCUGGCGGCGUGCCUAACACAUGCAAGUCGAGCGAGGAGAUUCCUCGGGAUGAUCCUAGCGGCGGACGGGUGAGUAACACGUGGGCAACCUGCCUCAUAGAGAGGAAUAGCCUUCCGAAAGGGAGAUUAAUACCUCAUAACAUUGCAGUUUCGCAUGGAACAGCAAUUAAAGGAGUAAUCCGCUAUGAGAUGGGCCCCGCGGCGCAUUAGCUAGUUGGUGAGGUAACGGCUCACCAAGGCGACGAUGCGUAGCCGACCUGAGAGGGUGAUCGGCCACAUUGGGACUGAGACACGGCCCAGACUCCUACGGGAGGCAGCAGUGGGGAAUAUUGCACAAUGGGGGAAACCCUGAUGCAAGCAACGCCGCGUGAGUGAUGACGGCCUUCGGGUUGUAAAGCUCUGUCUUCAGGGACGAUAAUGACGGUACCUGAGGAGGAAGCCACGGCUAACUACGUGCCAGCCGCAGC